AUUUACGGCCAAGAGCAAACUGCUUUCGGUGCACUCGCUGCUCGGUGAUGGACUGCUCGCGUGGGCGGGAGGCUUCAAAACUAGAACAUGGAAUUCGAUGCAUAGCAUCCCAUAUUUCUUCCGAAGUGUCAUCCGACCACGAAGGCAAUCAACCCAUUCUACUAUGAAAAGUUCUUACACGCUGGGCCACAGGCUUUACUGGCAUCGCUUCGUCAGAAAGACAGGCCUGUUGGAGGGCGAAACUUAGUUGCAAGCGUCGUAAGUUGGCUGAGCAUGUGAUGGGAGAUUUAUCAGCGGAUCGCGUCCAGUCGAACCCCGCAUUCCACACAACUGAAAUUGACUGAAACUUUUGUGGGCCGUUCUACCAUAAGGUUAAUGCUCGAACUAAGCCACCAUGUAAAUGCCACAUUGCCAUAUUCGUCUGUUUCUCAAUAAAGACUACGCACUUAGAGGUCAUCGUGGAUCUAACUACAGUCUUAUUCAUGGCAGCUUUAAGGCGCUUCAUCAGCCGAAAAGUCAACCGAUUUUGUGGGAGAAAAAGAAGAGCUGCUCGAGCUCAAGGCACUGAUCAAUAGUGAACGAAACACCUCGGUCAUGGCUUAGUUUUGCCUAAGCGAUGGAAUGACUGGAAAUGUAUCCCUCCUCGUUAGUCUCAUUUUGGAGGGUUAUGGGAAGCGGCUGUCAAGUUGGCAAAAUACCACUUUUAUGGAGUCGUCGGAUCCACUGUGCUAACCCCUGAAGAGAUUCGUACUCUCGUAUAUGAGAUAUCGGCCAUUCUGAACUCUCGACCCUUUAUAAAUUUUGAGAAGGCCCCGACAGUCAGGAAGUGCUUAGCCCAUCCCACUUUCUAAAGGAGAUAGCUUCACGACUUUUACAGAGCCGGACGUCAGAAAACUCAACGCUAGCCGUCUAAGG
This 915-nucleotide long non-coding RNA is filed under the name Drosophila guanche. Lineage: Eukaryota; Metazoa; Arthropoda; Insecta; Diptera; Drosophilidae. The record is from RNAcentral.